RNAcentral lists this ribosomal RNA (697 nucleotides) under Gymnocladus chinensis. RNAcentral describes it as "eukaryotic LSU rRNA". The stretch from base 279 to 434 matches the Rfam family "5.8S ribosomal RNA". Lineage: Eukaryota; Viridiplantae; Streptophyta; Magnoliopsida; Fabales; Fabaceae. The record is from RNAcentral.
UUUCCGUAGGUGAACCUGCGGAAGGAUCAUUGUCGAUGGCCCUAUCAAACAGGAUGACCCGCGAAUCGGUUAAGAGACCAUCGGGGAGGCAGAGGGUGAGCGUCGCCCCGAGUCUCCCUGCCCGGCGAUGCCUUCAGCCUCGUGCUGCUUGUGUCAGGCCGAAAAAUAACUAAACCUCGGCGUCGGACGCGCCAAGGAACUCGAACAAAUGAGCGUGCUCUCGACGUCCCGGAGACGGUGCUCGCUCGAGAGUGUCGCGACGACUGUAUCCAAAAAAUGACUCUCGGCAACGGAUAUCUCGGCUCUCGCAUCGAUGAAGAACGUAGCGAAAUGCGAUACUUGGUGUGAAUUGCAGAAUCCCGUGAACCAUCGAGUCUUCGAACGCAAGUUGCGCCCGAAGCCAUUAGGCCGAGGGCACGUCUGCCUGGGUGUCACACAACGAUGCCCCCACUCCACAGCCUCUGAGGGGGCGUGUAGGGGGGGGUGGACGAUGGCCUCCCGUGGGCGUCUUGCCUCUCGGAUGGCUGAAAUACGAGUCUGUGGUGUCGACCGCCGCGACGGACGGUGGAAGAGUGAAUCUCGAGACCGGUCGAGCGUGUGUCUUCUCGUCGAGCAGGCUGCGAGACCUUUACGCGUCGCUUGUUGCGAGUGCAUUCGAAGCGAUCCCAGGUCAGGCGGGGCUACCCGCUGAGUUUAA